RNAcentral lists this long non-coding RNA (247 nucleotides) under Elaeis guineensis (African oil palm). Its description in RNAcentral is "long non-coding RNA (EGUI_LNC038202)". The record is from RNAcentral. Lineage: Eukaryota; Viridiplantae; Streptophyta; Magnoliopsida; Arecales; Arecaceae.
AGGGAUGCCUCCUUUCCUUCUUCCUUAACCUCCACGCCCUAUAAUCUGAUGAGAUCAGAUCUAAGAGAGAAACAAAGAGAGAUAGGAAGAGAAGAAGAAAGGUUUUUCUAUUCUUCUUAGUGAUCUGGUUCAGAUCUUGUCAGAUCUGUACGAAAGAGUUCGCGCAGCGUUCAUCUUCUUUGAGAUCUAGAAGAAGAGAUUUAGAUCCAAGACUGAAAAAUGAGAUUUGCAAGGUGUUAGCACACCA